Molecule: long non-coding RNA, 828 nt
Filed under: Linum usitatissimum (flax)
Lineage: Eukaryota; Viridiplantae; Streptophyta; Magnoliopsida; Malpighiales; Linaceae
Description: long non-coding RNA (LUSI_LNC003662)
Source: RNAcentral
UCCAAUAAAUCUCCUACCCUGUUUAAAACCAGACUUCUAACCCUUAUCACUACUAAUACUCCUGCUAGUUCCGCCGCCAAGAUCUACAUGCCCAUAAGUCAGAUCCGCGCCCUCGUUGGCAUUGCAGCGUACGCCUGCGGAGUUCAAAGCUUCCUCCCCGGGAGGUCUAGUUUUCAGGCUAAGUAGGUAGGGGUAACGUUCUUCUAAUCCUCCAAUUCUGAUCCCUUCCUUGGAUUAAACUCACUCCCUUUUCUUCGAUGGCAUCAAGAUGUAGGUUCGUCAUACCGGAAGCGGCAGCGGCGGCAUCUUCUCACUUCCAGACUCUUAGGUCAGUCUUACCGGACCUCCAAGCCCUCAAAACCAUGCGGUUCGCUUCGUAUGUAGGUCAGGAAACUAACCCAUGAGUUUCAUUUCGACCUUCGAUUAGUUUCAGAGGUUUACCUUGUUCGCCGGAAUCUGGGUGUUUUAGCCGCCGGAUUGUGGGCGCUCGCAGUGGUCAACGGAGGCGGUCAACGUGGAGAAAAUAUUAGUUGCAGUCCCUGGAAGUUUUAGUGGUCACAGUUUGCUCAUUGGACUUCUAGUAAUUCUAUUCAGCACAUAUAGUUCUAGAAAUUAUGUCACGGAUAUAGAACUUUAGAAUAUGACAGGUUAGUCCUUAAUUGUUAAUUAUCACUGCCGCGACCUGUAACUUUCAGGUUGUGACGAAACAUACCCAAAUAAUUUGCUAAGUAGUUCAAUCUAGUACAAAAUUCAGUUAAUUUAAUCCGGUUAAUGAAUUAACCAAAGAAUCGAUUCUCCCUAGGGUCUCUUAAUGUAUUUUACUCAAAU